GUAAGCGCGCAAUAGAAAGCCCUCAGCCCCCAAAUUCAUAUCGCCAAAGCAAGCCUCAGUUUUUUCCACCUUCAAUCAUAGGUGCUUCGGUGUUAAAUCGCCGGUCUCUAUCUUCAGUCUCUUUAGGAUUACCAAAAUCUCAGGUUAAAGCGGAAUUUGUCCCCUUUUCAUGUAAGGUACUUUUUCUUUGAUUUUUUCCUUGUCAACUGAGGAUGCGGCUGGGUAUGGCUUGGCCAAAGUAUGUCGAUCGAUCUGUUGCCUCAACUUGGUACUUGAAAUGGCAAUCUGAAGCUGAAAUGAGUUUCAGAUCAAGAAAAACAGAUGAAUUGCAGUGGUAUCUUUGGUUCUUAAUUAGAACUGCAAUAUAUGGCUAUGUAUUGUAUUAUGUGAUACGCUUUAUGAAGAGGAAAAUUCCACGGCUUCUUGGUUAUGAACCUUUAAGGAGAAACCCCAACUUAUGGAAGCUGCAGAGAAUGGAGCUUUGUCUUUUUCCCCCUAGUGAUUGAUCCAGAAUAAAUCAUCAAUGGUUAGUGACUAUUUUCUGCACCUAGCAGUUGUCUUAGCUCAACUUUGAGUCAUAUUUUACUAUAUUUUAGAAGUGAGAGUUUGGGGGGAUGAACAUGGGUACGAACUUAUGGGUAAUAGAUCUUAUGUUGUGAUAUUCAUUGUGCUCCAAGGAGUCCAACUGGCAAACACAUGGUGGAAGAAUUGGUAUUCAUAGUGCUCUACUUCUAAGGUUUGUUCCCUGUGUUUGGAGGUAAUUACUUCUCUCUUUUUCUGUUUAAUUUUUUAUAUCUGUUACGGUGUGACCGUCUUAUGCAAUGCCCAAGCGCAGAAAAGUAUGUGCUCUAACUCCUCUAUAAAAUGCUAAUGGAUGCCAGUUUGGGUUCUUUUUUCUUCCAAUGGCCUUACUCUUCCUUUUGUAGUUUUAUGUCUAAUUUUUCCAGAGAACUUAAAUAUUAAAGCUUCCAGAGAAUAAACAAUCUUAAGUACUUAGGUAGAUGCAUGUUAUUCCUGAGAUUAUUUUCUUUCGAUCGAUGAACUUGGGUUUAUGUAUUUUUGUUCUGCAAGUACUCUCUGUGUGUGUAUAUUUUCUUUCGGUUGAUGAACUUGGGUUCAUUGUGUGUAUUGUACUGAAAGUUUCUAUCAUAAAACAUCUUCAGCCACAAAGAUUCUCAAAGAGGACAAAAACAUCAACAGAAGCUGCUAUACUGAAGCCGACGACUUUAAAGAGGAUUUACUGAGCCUGAUAUUUCUGCAUUGGGUAGUGCGACAAUGACUCUAUGAUCAUAUGAUGAUAACAGUCACACACAUACAUUUGAAGAUAUUUUAGGCUUAAUUAGACAAUAAGACUGAACAUGGCACAGUUGACGUACGAACUUAUUCAUUGUGUUCUAAGCUGCCUGUACAUGACUAGAUAGUAGCUAUACAAUGCUAAUGAUAUCCCUUUAGUUAGCGGUAUAUAUCCUUGACAGUGGCUUGACAUAUUUUUUUUUUCAUGUUGUUCCAUAAAUUAAUGUUUUAAUCCGAGCACUGCACUUUUUGAAGAUAUUAACCGCUUUAUGAAAAUAGGGGAAUCUCAAGAAAAUAUCAACUUUGUGGUCAAUUUUAUCUUAUGGGAUUUUAUCGUUCUAGGUUUAACUUUUGGGGCUAUUCUACUGUCAAUUUCUUUUCUCCAAUGGGAAGGUACUCAUCUGCUAGUCUAAGUAAUUGUGGCCUCUGCGCAAUAAACGAGUUUAAGUAUCUUGUUAAGGAAGCACAUAAAUGUGGAAUCGAGGUGACUAAUUACUGGAGAAAACUAUGGGUUUGUUCUCCAAAAUUUGGUAUAUUCUCUUCUGACUGUUCAUUGGCAGGUUAUCAUGGAUGUUGUUUUCAAUCACACUGCCGAAGGAAAUGAAAAUGGUCCCAUUGUAUCAUUUAGAGGAAUUGACAACAGUGUAUUUUAUAUGCUAGCUCCUAAGGGAGAAUUCUACAACUACUCAGGAUGUGGAAACACCUUCAACUUAAUCAUCCCAUUGUAUGACAAUUUAUAGUGGAUUGCUUGAGGUCACACUCUGAUUUUCAAUAGUUCAGCGGGUAGAAGAUUUGAAUAUGAUUAAAAGUUGCGGAAAUUAUUUGAAGACUAUCAUUCCUCAAGAUUAGUUAUAUAAUAGCAUUAGCUAUUCAAUUCAAACAAGAUAAGUUUAUUUUUUAAGUUAAUGUGACAUUGAUUUUUUUAUUAGUACUUCUGUUUGUUUUUUAAGAAUUAGUAAGAUAUAUUAUAUUUUUUAAUUAAUAUUA
Molecule: long non-coding RNA, 2280 nt
Organism: Nicotiana attenuata
Lineage: Eukaryota; Viridiplantae; Streptophyta; Magnoliopsida; Solanales; Solanaceae
Exons: 5
Source: RefSeq, a predicted model, not a curated record